GCUUAUGGCCAUACCACCCUGAAUACGUGUGAUCUCGGAAACUAAGCAGGAUCAAGCCUCGUUAGUACUUGGAUGGGAGAGUGCCUAGGAAUGCCAGGUGCUGUAAGCU
Scleropages formosus (Asian bonytongue) is the source of this 109-nucleotide ribosomal RNA. The record is from Rfam. NCBI's taxonomy places the organism in Eukaryota, Metazoa, Chordata, Actinopteri, Osteoglossiformes, Osteoglossidae.